This 475-nucleotide ribosomal RNA is filed under the name uncultured bacterium. Its description in RNAcentral is "SSU rRNA". It matches the Rfam family "Bacterial small subunit ribosomal RNA", at positions 26 to 518 of the family's 1533-position model. The record is from RNAcentral.
AGGAUAAACGCUGGCGGCGUGCCUAACACAUGCAAGUCGAACGUCUCUUUCUUCGGGAAGAGGAGUGGCGGACGGGUGAGGAACACGUGGGAACCUGCCCUUUAGUGAGGAAUACCGGCGAGAAAUCGCCGACAAGACCGCAUAGCCCUCUUUGAUGAGAGUCAAAGAAGGAAAGCUUCGCAAGAGGCGCUAGAGGAGGGGCCUGCGUCCGAUUAGCUAGUUGGUGGGGUAAGAGCCUACCAAGGCGUCGAUCGGUAGCUGGUCUGAGAGGACGAUCAGCCACACUGGGAUUGAGAACGGCCCAGACUCCUACGGGGGGCAGCAGUGAGGAAUUUUCCGCAAUGGACGAAAGUCUGACGGAGCAACGCCGCGUGCAGGAGGAAGGUUUCGGAUCGUAAACUGCUUUUCGUCGGGGACGAGCGAAGGACGGUACCCGAGGAAGAACGCCCGGACUAACGUACGCGCCAGCAGCCGC